Molecule: long non-coding RNA, 3039 nt
Organism: Acipenser ruthenus (sterlet)
Lineage: Eukaryota; Metazoa; Chordata; Actinopteri; Acipenseriformes; Acipenseridae
Exons: 4
Source: RefSeq, a predicted model, not a curated record
AUUAAAGUACCGUUCCGGUUCGUUCCGGCUUUUACCCCAUCCCUCCUACGUAGGACUUUUUUUCUCCUAGCUAGGAGAUUUUUUUUUUUCAUUGGCACUUGGACGCUUCCUUACAAACCAGACAUAUUAAAUGGUACUGCCCUGCUACAAGAAGUCAGUACCCAGGGAAGUCAAUAAAAGCUUCCCUCACCAACAUGGCUGGUUCCCCACUUCCUGUCAAGAUGGAGGACCAUACCACCACACCCAACUCAGGACACUCCCAACCACAGGCCUCCAAUCCUGAUACACCAGGAGGAGUAAGGAGCCAGGGGCUGCAGCCAUGGAGCCAGCUCACGACACCAGCACUCACCAUCACUCCCCGGAUUGGAAAGCACACUUUCAUGCACGGGACUGUGGAUUGGGGAUUACUUGUUGUUAUUGUUGUUUUGUUUUGGCCUGCAAGACAGCCGUGUUCCCCCCCCAAUACCAUCGCUUGUAGAGGGGCGGUUCUUUUUUUUGUUUCCUUAAUAAACACAGACUUUUUGGGUGUACAGUACUGUUUGGACCUUCACUUUGCUCACCGUACCACUCACACCUGUCACAAGGAUGUAAAAUGUCUAAGUGGCAAAACCAUAGAUGAAGAGAAAAAAAUAGAAAAUAUAUUAAAUUAUGACUUUUCACAAGUUUUUACAAAGGAUGAUAUGGACAACAUGCGCCACAUAUCGACCUGUUCCUAUCCAGUUUUAAAUAACUUUGGCAGAAGUGUUAAAGGGACUAGGAGCUCUUAAAAUAAACAAAUUCACAAACUGAACACAGUAGGGAUUCAAGGAAAUAUGUGCACUUGGAUUAGGGAGUGGUUAACAUGUAGAAAACAGAAAGUACUGUAACCCCCCUGCCAACUCUUUGUUCCUACCGGCCAUGGGAACUGGGGGUUGACAGCGCAAAUUAUUCUUUCUCUCUAUUUCUGGAACUAUCGGGACUGAACUGCGUUUCCGGGGUAACCUUUUAGGCAGGAGGACGAAAACAAGUGGGAGAGCACAUGGAGAGAGAGAGAGGGAGUUUAGAGGCUGCUGAACAGUCGAGAAAAUAAAUGAACAGUAAUAAAAGUUAAAAUAAUAAUUCUCGGUUUGAGAAAUAUUACUCGAAAGCAUUCGAGUUUGGAAAGUGACACAUAUAUCUGAGGAAACGAAGGAUGUUCUAAAAGAAACAAGAAACUGUCCAAGACUAGGAAAAAAAAAAGAAAAUACUCGUGUGAGUACUAUACCUACCGCAUAUUUCAGUUGUUCAGGGAAUUUCAUUUUUGAAUAAGUAAGACUCCAGUGGAUUGCUUUGGACUGAGUUAAAAAUUAAACUUCAUUGCAACAGAGGACGAAUAUAUUUUUUUGGAUCACACACAUUGGAUUAAAUAAAACAAACUGUGUAUUGUUUUGCGACCAUGAAGGAUUGAACUAUUACUACACAAAAGGGGGAUUUAUUUUUUAAACUAAACCAACGGACAUUUUGUUUUAUUUUUCAAUUAUACUAAAGAAAUUAAACAAGACUUUCUAAGAUAUUUUAUUUUGGGGAUCCCCAGUUGAUAUUGUAAUAGAUUAAAACCGUGGUACCACUGAAUAGAUAGGUAAAAGAAAAAAGAAAAAACGUAUUUUUGUUGUUGAAUAUUGUAAUAUUAUUUUUGAAUAAGAAAUGCAUAUGAGUGUUUACAACUUUUAAAACUUUAGGUGGAGGCAUCGCGCUAUAUGUAUUUUGAGUUAUGCAAAUCAGACACUCACUUAACCUUUAUGUUAAUUUAACAGUAACACAUCAUCUUUGCAGGUGCAGCAGAACUUGCCUGUUUAUUGCAUACAGUCCUACACACCAAGGUCUCUAAUAUUAUUUUUAAAAAAUAGUGAACUGAACCCAGGUCCUAUAUCUCUCCCUUAGUAUUGUGAGGCGCAUUGAAUCGUACUGAGCGGAGAAGUGGGGUCACAGUACUGAUUAGAGGAGAAGCCUCAAAAUGGAGCGAGGUAACCAGUGGAAUAACACAGGGAUCAGUAAUAGGCCCUUUUCUCUUCCUAAUCUACAUUAAUGACUUAGAUUCUGGUAUAGCAAGCAAACUUGUUAAAUUUGCAGAUGACACAAAAAUAGGAGGAGUGGCAAACACCAUUGCAGCAGCAAAGGUCAUUCAAAAUGAUCUAGACAGCUUUCAGAACUGCGCAGACACAUGGCAAAUUACAUUUAAUAUAGAAAAGUGUAAGGUACUGCACGCAGGCAAUACAAAUGUAUAUUAUAAAUAUCAUAUGGGAGAUACUGAAAUUGAAGAAGGAACCUAUGAAAAAGAUCUAGGAGUUUAUGUUGACUCAGAAAUGUCUUCAUCUAGACAAUGUGGGGAAGCUAUAAAAAAGGCCAACAAGAUGCUGGGAUAUAUUGUGAAAAGUGUUGAAUUUAAAUCAAGGGAAGUAAUGUUAAAACUGUACAAUGCAUUAGUACUGUAAGACCACAUCUAGAAUAUUGUGUUCAGUUCUGGUCACCUUGCUAAGAAAAGGAUAUUUCUAGUUCUAAAAGAGUGCAAAGAAGAGCAACCAGAAUUAUUCCGGGUUUGAAAGGGUUUAGAAGACUAUGCGGUGAUCUGAUUCAAGCAUUCAAAAUUCUAAAAGGUAUUGACAUUGUCGACCCAGGGGACUUUGUUGACCUGAAAAAAGAAACAAGGACCAGGGGUCACAAAUGGAGAUUAGAUAAAAGGGCAUUCAGAACAGAAAAUAGGAGGCACUUUUUUACACAGAGAAUUGUGGGAGUCUGGAACCAACACCCCAAUAAUGUUGUUGAAGCUAUCACCCUGGGAUCCUUCAAGGAACUGCUUGAUGAGAUGCUGGGAUCAAUAAGCUACUAACAACCAAACGAGCAAGACUGGCUGAAUGGCCUCCUCUCGUUUGUAAACUUUCUUAUGUUCUUAUGUUCUUAUAUUAUGCUCUUGCUAAUGCUUUUGUACUUUACUCCCUGCGACUGAAGCUUUUUUUAUGUCUGUGAUCCAUAUUGCAUCAUUUUGUGUUCUAUGUUCCCACUGAUGUUUAAAUGUUAAUUAAA